This 443-nucleotide ribosomal RNA is filed under the name uncultured bacterium. RNAcentral describes it as "partial 16S ribosomal RNA". It matches the Rfam family "Bacterial small subunit ribosomal RNA", at positions 338 to 795 of the family's 1533-position model. The record is from RNAcentral.
CCUACGGGAGGCAGCAGUGGGGAAUAUUGGGCAAUGGGCGCAAGCCUGACCCAGCAACGCCGCGUGAAGGAAGAAGGCUUUCGGGUUGUAAACUUCUUUUCUCAGGGACGAAGCAAGUGACGGUACCUGAGGAAUAAGCCACGGCUAACUACGUGCCAGCAGCCGCGGUAAUACGUAGGUGGCAAGCGUUAUCCGGAUUUACUGGGUGUAAAGGGCGUGUAGGCGGGAAAGCAAGUCAGAUGUGAAAACCAUGGGCUCAACCUGUGGUCUGGAUUUGAAACUGUUUUUCUUGAGUACUGGGGAGGCAGGCGGAAUUCCUGGUGUAGCGGUGAAAUGCGUAGAUAUCAGGAGGAACACCGGUGGCGAAGGCGGCCUGCUGGACUGCAACUGACGUUGAGGCCCGAAAGCGUGGGGAGCAAACAGGAUUAGAUACCCUUGUAGUC